UGGGAGAAUUGAGCCCUGGUGACAUUUGU
RNAcentral lists this non-coding RNA (29 nucleotides) under Homo sapiens (human). The record is from RNAcentral. Lineage: Eukaryota; Metazoa; Chordata; Mammalia; Primates; Hominidae.